GACAGAGGGUGCAAACGUUGUUCGGAAUUACUGGGCGUAAAGCGUGUGUAGGCGGUCGAGUAAGUCGGGUGUGAAAGCCCAGGGCUCAACCCUGGAAGUGCACUCGAUACUGCGCGGCUAGAGUACCGGAGAGGUUGGUGGAAUUCUCGGUGUAGAGGUGAAAUUCGUAGAUAUCGAGAGGAACACCGGUGGCGAAGGCGGCCAACUGGACGAGUACUGACGCUGAGACACGAAAGCGUGGGGAGCAAACAGG
This 253-nucleotide ribosomal RNA is filed under the name uncultured bacterium. Its description in RNAcentral is "partial 16S ribosomal RNA". It matches the Rfam family "Bacterial small subunit ribosomal RNA", at positions 524 to 776 of the family's 1533-position model. The record is from RNAcentral.